RNAcentral lists this ribosomal RNA (411 nucleotides) under Triatoma infestans. RNAcentral describes it as "partial large subunit ribosomal RNA". It matches the Rfam family "Bacterial large subunit ribosomal RNA", at positions 1918 to 2540 of the family's 2925-position model. Lineage: Eukaryota; Metazoa; Arthropoda; Insecta; Hemiptera; Reduviidae. The record is from RNAcentral.
AGGAAUUGAAUGGCCGCAGUAUUUUAACUGUGCUAAGGUAGCAUAAUCAUUUGUCUUUUAAUUGAGGGCUGGAAUGAAGGGUUGGACGAGGUAUUAACUUUCUUUGAUUUAAUGGGGAGAAUUUAAUUUUUGAGUUAAAAAGCUUAAAUUUAUUUGUGGGACGAGAAGACCCUAUAGAUCUUUAUAGUUUUAUAUUUUAAUAAUUUGGUGAUUUAUUUGUUUUAAGUAGAUGAACUAUUUUGUUGGGGUGACUGUAGAAUUUAAAUAACUUCUAUUAUUUUAUUUCAUUAAUUAAUGUUUUUGUGAUCCAUAUUUUAUGAUUAUAAGAUUAAGUUACCUUAGGGAUAACAGCGUAAUUUCCUCGGAGAGUUCAUAUUGAUGGGGGAGUUUGCGACCUCGAUGUUGGAUUAA